CGAGCGAUGUCACAAUCAGGUCGGAACAGCACACGUGGUGGCUGUGGAGUCUGAGGCCCAGGCCCGCUGCAUGUGCAGAGACCUGUGUGUGGCCUCCCACAUCCUCAUACAGUGUCAGUGCUGUGUGGGGAGCUGCUGUACUAUACCGCUUAGAACACGACGGCCAAGAAAAAGCCGCACUUGCGCGGUGCAGACUCACGUCUUUCCUCAGUUUCUAUCUGCGGCUGAAUCCCCGAUGAGAAAGAUGUGAUACCCUCGGUCGCUGUGCUUAGCUAGCAUGGAAGGUGUUUCCCCACGACAAACGUCACACACACACACACACACACACACACACACACACACACACACACGAGAAGAGAAGAAAACCCUGGCAGGACGCCCUAUGGAAGGAACCAAAGAUGUUUCCAGGAAAUCACUCUUGGAGUUUUACCUUAAAUAAACAUGAAAAGAACAUUCGUGAGAGGUCUCACCUCCUCCGCGGAUGUGAACCGACACUCAGGGGACCAGCACCCAGGUGUGACAUCACACCCUGGCCUUCUCCCGGAGAGACCUCUCCCGUCUAACCAAGCCCGAACAGCAAUUCCACUCAGAACCCCUGCAGCUGAAGCAUCACCCACCAUGAGCUUCCUGCCCUUACACUGCCGGCAGCCUCCUGACACACCAAGCCCCUGCCAGAGCCUGACAGCACCAGGGAGCUGGCUAACACCUCAUCCUUCUUAUUCAGUGUUACGGCGACAUCCCCACCCCUAGCCCAUCUCAGGUCUUCACGAGCCCAGCUGACACCCACGCUACCUGUUUAACCGGCAAACUCUUGAAGAUCAGUGCUCUCUCCAUUCCAGAGGGGAAGAAACAAGACAAGGGGAAGUCAACUCUCCGGGCUCCACUCACACAGGGAAGGACACUACGCCAGUCAUGCUGAGCCUGAAACCCCGGUUUUGCUUAAUCGGUGCAAGUCGAAGAUAAUGUGUCUCACACACAUAGGAAAACCUUCAUCAACACGAAGAGACCAGGCGGAAUAUCUCCACGGCCAAGCCCAACCUGGGGCAGAGGCCCUGGGGGGUGUCCCAAGGUGACACUGCGUCACCCCAAGUUCCUCUUGGGAAUCACCUUCGCCAGGCUCAGCUCGAGGGGUCUGGGAGGGGAGACCCUGUCUCUCAACCCAAGGGUAGGCGUAAGGCCUGGGGGAGGCCAAGUAGAGUCCCCCGUUCCCUCAGCUGUCACGGCACACUCCAGGGACACAGGCCGCGGCCAGAGAGCUCAGGACGCAGGCCUCAGUGGGCGGGCGCUGGUACUGCCUUUGCAGGGAAGAGCGAGCCUGGGCUGAAGCCAGCAUACGGGACCACAGAGCCAAGGGCAAGCAGACCCGCCUGAGGCCGCAGCUGCUCCUGAGGCCACAGAGCUCAGAGGCAGACACCGGCCCGCCGGGGCUGCACUGGGUGAGUUACGUCUCCUACAUCCUCAGUCCGAGGUGCCUGGUGCAGCUGGGCAGCUUUGGGGUUCAGGCACCAGCUAGAGAGUCCCCCAAACUGUGGGCUCAAUCAAGACUGCAGCCCAGGGUCCCGCAGCCUCACUGCAGUGCUGUCCGGACA
Long non-coding RNA from Fukomys damarensis (Damara mole-rat), 1589 nucleotides. NCBI's taxonomy places the organism in Eukaryota, Metazoa, Chordata, Mammalia, Rodentia, Bathyergidae. The record is from Ensembl.